Molecule: transfer RNA, 62 nt
Filed under: Nonarthra nigripennis
Lineage: Eukaryota; Metazoa; Arthropoda; Insecta; Coleoptera; Chrysomelidae
Also listed under: 1 other name
Description: tRNA-His
Source: RNAcentral
AUCUAAAUAGUUUAAAUAAAAUAUUGAUUUGUGAUAUCAAAGAUAUAGUUAUAUUUUAGAUU